Molecule: ribosomal RNA, 285 nt
Filed under: uncultured bacterium
Lineage: Bacteria
Description: partial 16S ribosomal RNA
Rfam family: Bacterial small subunit ribosomal RNA
Source: RNAcentral
UCCUACGGGGGGCAGCAGUGGGGAAUAUUGGGCAAUGGACGCAAGUCUGACCCAGCAACGCCGCGUGAAGGAAGAAGGCUUUCGGGUUGUAAACUUCUUUUACGGGGGAAGAGCAGAAGACGGUACCCCUUGAAUAAGCCACGGCUAACUACGUGCCAGCAGCCGCGGUAAUACGUAGGUGGCGAGCGUUAUCCGGAAUGAUUGGGCGUAAAGGGUGCGCAGGCGGCGCGUCAAGUCUGAAGUAAAAGGUACAGGCUCAACCUGUGCAGGCUUUGGAAACUGGCG